Molecule: long non-coding RNA, 938 nt
Organism: Lycium barbarum (goji berry)
Lineage: Eukaryota; Viridiplantae; Streptophyta; Magnoliopsida; Solanales; Solanaceae
Exons: 2
Source: RefSeq, a predicted model, not a curated record
UUCAGAAUAGGGUUUCCCUUCACUUUCACGCUUUCCUCGCCGCGCCCCAUCCCCUUUUCCCUAUUCUCUUUCCCUUCUCAUUUUCCUCCUUCACCGCCGCCUUCACCCCUUCUCUUUCUCCUCCCUCUGCUACACCCACGUGACCUCCAUCCAUGCCCAUACUCCACGUUACCCCUGACACCCCACUCCCGCUGUUCCCCCCACGCUUCUGCCACUCCCACCUUCUUCUGUUCCCUCCACUUUCGUUGUCACCCGCUCCUCUAUCUCCUUCCCCAACACAAAACCUAAAGAACCCUAUAAAUAGAGGGGAGUGGAAUCGAAACGGAGGGGGAUUUUUUUCGGUUGUUUCUUUGAUUGUUAAAAAGGUCGAAUAUAUAAAAAAUUCGGGGAUUUUUUUGGGAUCGGAAAAAAAAGCCGUCUAUUCUUUGAAAAAUACAAAGUUUUAGCCAUCCAGAAUCCUUUAAAGAAUAUGAGUUCUCAGUAGUUGCAGGAAGUUUUUCGCAUAUCGGGUUUUCCCUUUGUUGAGCCUCUAAAAUUCCUUAACAGUUUUGAACCCGAGCGUCGCAAGCCCAGAUUCGAAGUGUUCGAGCGUGGAUUCGAGACCCAUACCCAUUUCGCUGCACCCGAACAAGGUGCACAGGGAGACAGACUUGAUCCAUAGCUGCUUAUUCAGAGAUUACAUAGCAGAACUCUAUUUCCUUCGGAGCCAUAGCUUUUGGGUACUUAUUAUUUUAUGUAUAUAAUUAUGGGCAUAGCGGGGUCUUGUCCCGCUCAUGUGACAUGUUAUACUCUUCUUAGAGGCUCGUAGUCACGUGUAUGUGGUUAGGUAUGUCUGGCCUUGUCGGCCUAUAUUUUGUAUAUCAUUUUGUUGGCCUCGUCGACCCAUGUACAUUGUUGUGGCAUAGAUUCCUAUGAUGAUUAAAGAUGUUAUCGUCCAA